GAGUUUGAUCCUGGCUCAGGACGAACGCUGGCGGCGUGCCUAACACAUGCAAGUCGAACGGAGAUUUCAGCAAUGGAAUCUUAGUGGCGAACGGGUGAGUAACGCGUAGACAACCUACCUUCUAGAUGGGGACAACACUGCGAAAGUGGUGCUAAUACCGAAUGUUGUAUUAAGGGUGCAUAUCCUAAAUACUAAAGGUGGCCUCUAUUUAUAAGCCAUCACUAGAAGAUGGGUCUGCGUCUGAUUAGCUAGUUGGUGAGGUAAUGGCUCACCAAGGCGACGAUCAGUAGCCGGUCUGAGAGGAUGAACGGCCACACUGGGACUGAGACACGGCCCAGACUCCUACGGGAGGCAGCAGUGGGGAAUCUUCCGCAAUGGACGAAAGUCUGACGGAGCAACGCCGCGUGAGUGAAGAAGGUUUUCGGAUCGUAAAACUCUGUUUUCAGGGACGAAUGUGCGCAAUGUAAAUAAUGUUGUGUAAUGACGGUACCUGAGUAGAAAGCCACGGCUAACUACGUGCCAGCAGCCGCGGUAAUACGUAGGUGGCAAGCGUUGUCCGGAAUUAUUGGGCGUAAAGCGCGCGCAGGUGGGAUAUUAAGUCUGGUGUUAAAGUUCGGGGCUCAACCCCGUGAAGCAUUUGGAAACUGACAUUCUUGAGUGCAGGAGAGGAAAGUGGAAUUCCCAGUGUAGCGGUGAAAUGCGUAGAUAUUGGGAGGAACACCAGUGGCGAAGGCGACUUUCUGGACUGUGUCUGACGCUGAGGCGCGAAAGCCAGGGGAGUGAACGGGAUUAGAUACCCCGGUAAUCCUGGCCGUAAACGAUGGGUACUAGGUGUAGGAGGUAUCGACCCCUUCUGUGCCGGAGUUAACGCAAUAAGUACCCCGCCUGGGGAGUACGGCCGCAAGGUUGAAACUCAAAGGAAUU
RNAcentral lists this ribosomal RNA (924 nucleotides) under uncultured bacterium. RNAcentral's name for it is "bacterial SSU rRNA". It matches the Rfam family "Bacterial small subunit ribosomal RNA", at positions 9 to 911 of the family's 1533-position model. The record is from RNAcentral.